AAAGAAAGACAUAUAUAUCUAUAACAAACCACUGUGCGUGGGUGUGAUUGCCAAUUUUGAUACUAAAUACCAAUUUGAAUUGCAUAGUAACAAACCAUCAAACUAUAUUCUACAUUAGCAAACCAUCAUACAAAGCAUAAUAUUGUAUGGUACAGACAAAAAGAGAAACUUCAAACACUUACAAAGAGGAGCUUCAAACACUUACAAUGUACAAAUACAGUAACUGGAAAACAGUUUCCAGUGCUGAGGACAGUAUGAAGGGAGUGAAUGAAAAUUGCAAUCGCACAUGCUAUAAGGGAA
Molecule: long non-coding RNA, 300 nt
Filed under: Amborella trichopoda
Lineage: Eukaryota; Viridiplantae; Streptophyta; Magnoliopsida; Amborellales; Amborellaceae
Description: long non-coding RNA (ATRI_LNC001427)
Source: RNAcentral